This 253-nucleotide ribosomal RNA is filed under the name uncultured bacterium. Its description in RNAcentral is "partial 16S ribosomal RNA". It matches the Rfam family "Bacterial small subunit ribosomal RNA", at positions 524 to 776 of the family's 1533-position model. The record is from RNAcentral.
UACGUAGGUGGCAAGCGUUGUCCGGAAUUAUUGGGCGUAAAGCGCGCGCAGGCGGUCCUUUAAGUCUGAUGUGAAAGCCCACGGCUCAACCGUGGAGGGUCAUUGGAAACUGGGGGACUUGAGUGCAGAAGAGGAAAGCGGAAUUCCACGUGUAGCGGUGAAAUGCGUAGAGAUGUGGAGGAACACCAGUGGCGAAGGCGGCUUUCUGGUCUGUAACUAACGCUGAGGCGCGAAAGCGUGGGGAGCAAACAGG